GUGCCAGCCGCCGCGGUAAUACCGGCAGCCCGAGUGAUGGCCGAUCUUAUUGGGCCUAAAGCGUCCGUAGCUGGCUGCGCAAGUCCGUCGGGAAAUCCACUCGCCCAACGAGUGGGCGUCCGACGGAAACUGCACAGCUUGGGACCGGAAGACCGAAGGGGUACGUCCGGGGUAGGAGUGAAAUCCUGUAAUCCUGGACGGACCACCGGUGGCGAAAGCGCCUUCGGUAGACGGAUCCGACAGUGAGGGACGAAAGCUAGGGUCUCGAACCGGAUUAGAAACCCCGGUAGUCC
Molecule: ribosomal RNA, 293 nt
Filed under: uncultured bacterium
Lineage: Bacteria
Description: partial 16S ribosomal RNA
Rfam family: Archaeal small subunit ribosomal RNA
Source: RNAcentral